Molecule: unclassified non-coding RNA, 237 nt
Filed under: Hevea brasiliensis (rubber tree)
Lineage: Eukaryota; Viridiplantae; Streptophyta; Magnoliopsida; Malpighiales; Euphorbiaceae
Source: RNAcentral
GCUGCAUCUCCGAUGCAGUGAACCGGCUGUCGGCUCCCUUGUUCCUGCGAUUGAGGCGCACGGCCGAGCCGGGUUCGACUUCUUGCGACGGCAUUUCAAUCUUCAGGAAUUUGCCUUUGACCACGGCNNNNUGAUGCCGAUGAAUUCCUGAGACCGGAAAUCGGGCUGCGACUGGAUCCGUUCCAGCAGGCGCUGCUGCUCGUCGGUUGACUUGAUCUUGUAGGAAUCUCGCCGCCA